This 601-nucleotide small RNA is filed under the name Pongo abelii (Sumatran orangutan). RNAcentral describes it as "retained intron". Lineage: Eukaryota; Metazoa; Chordata; Mammalia; Primates; Hominidae. The record is from RNAcentral.
CUGUAGGUGGCUGAGGCGGAAAGAUGGCGGAGCUGCGCGCGCUCGUAGCUGUCAAGAGGGUCAUCGACUACGCCGUGAAGAUCCGAGUGAAGCCUGACAGGACCGGUGUGUCACGGAUGGCGUGAAGCACUCCAUGAACCCCUUCUGUGAGAUCGCAGUGGAGGAGGCUGUGCGGCUCAAGGAGAAGAAGCUGGUGAAGGAGGUCAUCGCCGUCAGCUGUGGGCCUGCACAGUGCCAGGAGACCAUUCGUACCGCCUUGGCCAUGGGUGCAGACCGAGGUAUCCACGUGGAGGUGCCCCCAGCAGAAGCAGAACGCUUGGGUCCCCUGCAGGUGGCUCGGGUCCUGGCCAAGCUGGCAGAGAAGGAGAAGGUGGACCUGGUGCUGCUGGGCAAACAGGCCAUCGAUGAUGACUGUAACCAGACAGGGCAGAUGACAGCUGGAUUUCUCGACUGGCCACAGGUGAGACUGGAGUGGGGAGCACCUGCUGAGGGCCAGGCCUCAUCCCUCAAACUUCAUUUCUGCCUCAAGGCCUUUGCAUUUGCUGUUCUCUCCUCCUGGAACACUGUUCCCUCAGAUUGCCUCAUGGCUUUCUUGUUCCCC